This 750-nucleotide ribosomal RNA is filed under the name Triticum aestivum (bread wheat). RNAcentral's name for it is "partial small subunit ribosomal RNA". Lineage: Eukaryota; Viridiplantae; Streptophyta; Magnoliopsida; Poales; Poaceae. The record is from RNAcentral.
AUGGCAGACCACCUUCAAGUUCAGCGGCAACAACUAAAGUUCCCUCAGGGGUUCAGGUUUCACCCGACGAAUGUGGAGAUCAUCACCUCCUACCUAGUCCCUAAGGUGUUGAACAAAGCAUUCGACCCCAUAGCGGUCGGGGAGGUGGACCUGAACAAAUGCGAGCCAUGGGAACUCCCCGAGAAGGCGAAAAUGGGGAUAUUCCAUAAGAGCACCGGACUCAAGAAGGUAGUGAUGUCGUCGUACGCCAUUCCCAUGCCAAUGUCCAUGGGAGCAGAGGAGCAACAUGGCUUCCUUGAAUCCGGUACAUUGCCUCCUUUCAUGGGCUAUGGUGCAUCAUCAUCGCUGGUGCCCCCGUCGUCCCUACCUGCAUCUUCUUCGUACCAGAUGCAUGACACCGGGGCCAGAUUGUCAAUGAUGGGUACUGCGGUGCUCCCGAUGAUGAACGACCACUACUUUGGGAACCACCACUACCAGAAUAUGGCUACCCCACCACGACCGUUGGUGUCGUUCUACCACCAUGACCACCACCACCAGCAGCAGCAGCAGCAACAACAACAACACAUGAUUCAAAUGUCGAUGGAGAUGCAGAUAGGUGCAGAUGAGGGCCUCAUGAUCGGGGUCGAGCCUGGGAGCGGGCCGUCAUCCAUAGUGUCGCACGAGGAUACUUUGGCCAGGUUGAGGAGCAACGACGUUGCAACAACUGCUGAUGAGAUCUCAUCAGUGAACAUGGGUACGGAUGGCAUGUGA